CUCGUAGGUGGCCAACUAAGUCAGACGUGAAAUCCCUCAGCUUAACUGGGGAACUGCGUCUGAUACUGGAUGGCUUGAGUUUGGGAGAGGGAUGCGGAAUUCCAGGUGUAGCGGUGAAAUGCGUAGAUAUCUGGAGGAACACCGGUGGCGAAGGCGGCAUCCUGGACCAAUACUGACACUGAGGAGAGAACGCCAGGGGGAGACGAAACG
Molecule: ribosomal RNA, 210 nt
Filed under: uncultured bacterium
Lineage: Bacteria
Description: partial 16S ribosomal RNA
Rfam family: Bacterial small subunit ribosomal RNA
Source: RNAcentral